This 497-nucleotide ribosomal RNA is filed under the name uncultured bacterium. RNAcentral's name for it is "partial 16S ribosomal RNA". It matches the Rfam family "Bacterial small subunit ribosomal RNA", at positions 28 to 507 of the family's 1533-position model. The record is from RNAcentral.
GAUGAACGCUGGCGGCGUGCCUAAUACAUGCAAGUCGAGCGAACAGGCGAGGAGCUUGCUCCUCUGACGUUAGCGGCGGACGGGUGAGUAACACGUGGAUAACCUACCUAUAAGACUGGGAUAACUUCGGGAAACCGGAGCUAAUACCGGAUAAUAUAUUGAACCGCAUGGUUCAAUAGUGAAAGACGGUUUUGCUGUCACUUAUAGAUGGAUCCGCGCCGCAUUAGCUAGUUGGUAAGGUAACGGCUUACCAAGGCAACGAUGCGUAGCCGACCUGAGAGGGUGAUCGGCCACACUGGAACUGAGACACGGUCCAGACUCCUACGGGAGGCAGCAGUAGGGAAUCUUCAGCAAUGGGCGAAAGCCUGACGGAGCAACGCCGCGUGAGUGAUGAAGGUCUUCGGAUCGUAAAACUCUGUUAUUAGGGAAGAACAAAUGUGUAAGUAACUAUGCACGUCUUGACGGUACCUAAUCAGAAAGCCACGGCUAACUACGUG